UGCCGGAAAGGGUCCUUCGCCGGAGCUCCGUCUUCCGGCCACCAUAGGUCGUGAUUUUUGGCUCAACUUGUAGCCCUCAUCUAGGUGAGUAAUCCCUCAAAAGGUUUCGGCUAAAUUCGAUUUCGUUAGGGAGGUUUGUUUAAUUGAAAGUUUUAGGGAUUUAUGGUUGUUUGUGUUCGAUCGACAUGGUUAGGCUUAGAAUUGGAGUUUGUGGUAGUUAGGAAUGUUGUAGAGGAGGUUGAGAGGAAGAUGCUGCCAAUUUUUGGUGAGCAUAGGAGGUCGCCGGAAAAACGGCUGCCGGCCGCCGCCGGUUAGGAGAUUUUUAGGGUUUAAAUGUGGAAUAUUAAGAAGAGUAUAUUGGUGUGAUUUAUGGAAUUUUUGGAUGAGAUUUGGAUAGGUUUGUGAAUUUCCGAAGUUUGGUAUUUUUGGCGGUUAAUUAAUGUAGAAUCCGGCCGUAGGAUUUAAGUCGUAUUUUGGAGAGGUUGUAUUUACGACUGUUGAGUAUGAUAUUUAAGUUCGGAUCGUUCCGAUUUAAGAAUAUCGAAGUUAGGCAAUGAUGAGCGUAUUUAUGGCUCUCGGGAAUUUUGCCUAUUUUGAUUAAAUAUUGGAUUAUUGGUUGGGAAAUUAAUAUUUUAUUUGGAACAGGACGUGAGGAGGCUCGAGCAGACGAGACCCCAGAUCGACAGCAGGCUUAGGCCUAAUUUGUGAGUGGACUUUUGUUUUAAUAAAUGCAUGCUAAGUUCACGAUUGAAUAAUUAAUGUCGUGGAGUAUUUUGCCGUCAAUUAAUUUUGACGCUUUUAUUUCUCUGAGAGAGAGUUACCGAAAAAUGGGAUUUUUCGGUGAAUAUAAAUAUGUAUAUAUGAGAGAGUAUGUAUAAAAAUGCUAGCUAGCCAUAUGUGUCUGUCCACCUUAAUGGCGUAGCAUAUAGCCGCAUUAUGGUGUGACGUGAGCGUUGGACGUAAGCGUAGUAGCCCUAUUUGAGUGUUUAAUUCAUAUAGGGGGUAUGGACACAUAUUUAUACACCCGUCUGUCCACCUUGAUGGCGUAG
This 1049-nucleotide long non-coding RNA is filed under the name Fragaria vesca (wild strawberry). RNAcentral describes it as "long non-coding RNA (FVES_LNC004403)". Lineage: Eukaryota; Viridiplantae; Streptophyta; Magnoliopsida; Rosales; Rosaceae. The record is from RNAcentral.